RNAcentral lists this ribosomal RNA (443 nucleotides) under uncultured bacterium. RNAcentral describes it as "partial 16S ribosomal RNA". It matches the Rfam family "Bacterial small subunit ribosomal RNA", at positions 338 to 795 of the family's 1533-position model. The record is from RNAcentral.
CCUACGGGAGGCAGCAGUGGGGAAUAUUGGACAAUGGGGGGAACCCUGAUCCAGCGACGCCGCGUGAGUGAAGAAGUAUUUCGGUAUGUAAAGCUCUAUCAGCAGGGAAGAAAGAAAUGACGGUACCUGAAUAAGAAGCCCCGGCUAACUACGUGCCAGCAGCCGCGGUAAUACGUAGGGGGCAAGCGUUAUCCGGAUUUACGGGGUGUAAAGGGAGCGUAGACGGCGAUGCAAGUCUGAAGUGAAAGGCGGGGGCCCAACCCCCGGACUGCUUUGGAAACUGUAUGGCUGGAGUGCAGGAGAGGGAAGUGGAAUGCCUAGUGUAGCGGUGAAAUGCGUAGAUAUUAGGAGGAACACCAGUGGCGAAGGCGGCUUACUGGACUGUAACUGACGUUGAGGCUCGAAAGCGUGGGGAGCAAACAGGAUUAGAUACCCCUGUAGUC